Molecule: long non-coding RNA, 1768 nt
Filed under: Gadus morhua (Atlantic cod)
Lineage: Eukaryota; Metazoa; Chordata; Actinopteri; Gadiformes; Gadidae
Description: lncRNA (ENSGMOG00000035772.1)
Source: RNAcentral
GGCUGACUCACAGUAUGCUGUUCUUCUCCCAGUCCAAGAAUUGACCGUACAGCGAGAGAACUGGAUUGGCCCGCACUAAAUUUGACAGAGGAGCUCAUUAAAACCAACAGAGCUCUGGGAUAUGCCCCCUCUAAGAUGAUAAUGGAGGACCUGGUCGAAUUGAUUAAUAAAAGAUCAAGGUUGUUUGAUUUAUUAUUUUUUUCAAAGUUGCCUGUUGGCAGACUUUAAAUUGGUGCUGGAAACACUUUUAUGCAUCCACCUUUUUACAACCCGAGAGCUGUUUGAAAUUGGAGUGGGGACAAGCACCGAGAGAGAUGUAACGUCAACUCGCACGCUUCUUACGCUUUAUUAUUCCUGGACGCGGGAUUGGAGGUAAUCCCGAUACUGAGCGGUAGAAAACACAGCGGUAGGGCAGAGACCAAUUCUCUGCUCCAGUGUAUUCUGGACCAUGGGACUGAUGCACGAUAUAUUAAGGGAUGAAGAGGAGAGAGAGAGAGAGAGAGAGAGAGAGAGAGAGAGAGAGAGAGAGAGAGAGAGAGAGAGAGAGAGAGAGAGAGAGAGAGAGAGAAGAGAAACAGAGAGAGAGAGAGAGACAGUGAGAAACAGGAAGAGAGAGGGACCGUCUUAUGGGAUGUGAAGGAUUAGGAAGCCAACUCCAGGCUCUAGGCCUCCUCCUCAAAUAGCCCUGGAUUCCCGGUGUUUAUCUUGGGGUUAGUUCCAGGGUGUUAGCCUCCCAGCGGGGGGGGGGGGGGGAACGACGACACACUGAACUCAUUUCCUGCCCGGGUUCGGUCGCACGUUGAUGUUGGAUUCAAAGACCUCCCAGCAGCCUCCAGGGUAUCCAGACCUCCUCUACACAUGUCAAGGUGCGAAGGUCCUGGCGUCCUUCAGAGUAAAAGCGUGUGGCCCGGUACGACCCCAGCCUGGGGGGCUGAACUUUGUUGAGGAGCGGUGGAGGACCAGAGAGGGAAAGGGUGGAUCUGUUCCCUUUAACUGUCAAAACUCCACUGAUGGGUCCUGGUGAACAGAGGUGCUGAUUGGCCCUGCCGACGUUUCAAUCAAUUAUAAUCAGUCGGCCGUCUCAAGCACCUCCCAGAUUAUACGCUUUGUGUUCUUUUUUAUAUCAUCUGAAUUGCGUUUGUGUGUGAAGGUUUUUUUGAUUGUUUAUUGAUUCCCACCAUGAAUCAGAAUCGACCGAACAGAACCCGAAACAAAACAACACAACAGAAACAUAACGAAACCAACCCGGAGUCAGAGCUGUGAUAUCAGAAUGCAUUCACACAGUCAGCAUGAGACUUGAGAGCGUCCCAUUGGCCCUCCACCCCGCUCCACAGACGCCCUAGAACAUGAAUGAUGAAGAGGCUACACCCUGCUAAGGAAACCAAAGGAACUGGUUUUACUGUAAAUAAUGGAAAUAAAUUCAAAUACAAUACGUUUUCCACAACGGCCCUGAGAAAAACACGUCCUCUGUUUUUAUAUAAAAUCUGCUAGCAGCACUUUCUGUAUGGAUGUCUGUGUGUUUAUUAUUUGAAUGUUAAGACUCAUUACCAAAGUCGCCUGUGGCCAACUGCCAUUUGGCAACCUGAGGGGCGGAGCUUAGUGGAGCUACAAGACAAAACACACACACACACACGCACACACACACACACACACACAAACAGACCACUGCUCCUCCUUCUCCUCCUCCCACUCCCUUCCCCCCUCAACACCCCCACCCCUCCUCUUCCUCCCCUCCCCCUCCUCUCCUUCUUUUCCUCCUCUCCUGCCU